Molecule: transfer RNA, 72 nt
Filed under: Mrakia frigida
Lineage: Eukaryota; Fungi; Basidiomycota; Tremellomycetes; Cystofilobasidiales; Mrakiaceae
Description: tRNA-Phe (AAA) (tRNA-Phe-AAA-1-1)
Rfam family: tRNA
About the family: Transfer RNA (tRNA) molecules are approximately 80 nucleotides in length. Their secondary structure includes four short double-helical elements and three loops (D, anti-codon, and T loops). Further hydrogen bonds mediate the characteristic L-shaped molecular structure. tRNAs have two regions of fundamental functional importance: the anti-codon, which is responsible for specific mRNA codon recognition, and the 3' end, to which the tRNAs corresponding amino acid is attached (by aminoacyl-tRNA synthetases). tRNAs cope with the degeneracy of the genetic code in two manners: having more than one tRNA (with a specific anti-codon) for a particular amino acid; and 'wobble' base-pairing, i.e. permitting non-standard base-pairing at the 3rd anti-codon position.
Source: RNAcentral
GCCUCAAUGGCUCAGUGGUAGAGCGCGUCACAAAAAAUGAUGAGAUCCCCGGUUCAAACCCGGGUUGAGGCU